Molecule: ribosomal RNA, 482 nt
Filed under: uncultured bacterium
Lineage: Bacteria
Description: partial 16S ribosomal RNA
Rfam family: Bacterial small subunit ribosomal RNA
Source: RNAcentral
AUUGAACGCUGGCGGCAUGCCUUACACAUGCAAGUCGAACGGUAACAGGUCUUCGGAUGCUGACGAGUGGCGCACGGGUGAGUAAUACAUCGGAACGUGCCCGAUCGUGGGGGAUAACGAGGCGAAAGCUUUGCUAAUACCGCAUACGAUCUACGGAUGAAAGCGGGGGAUCUUCGGACCUCGCGCGGACGGAGCGGCCGAUGGCAGAUUAGGUAGUUGGUGGGAUAAAAGCUUACCAAGCCGACGAUCUGUAGCUGGUCUGAGAGGAUGAUCAGCCACACUGGGACUGAGACACGGCCCAGACUCCUACGGGAGGCAGCAGUGGGGAAUUUUGGACAAUAGGCGAAAGCCUGAUCCAGCCAUGCCGCGUGCAGGAUGAAGGCCUUCGGGUUGUAAACUGCUUUUGUACGGAACGAAAAGCCUCUUUCUAAUAAAGAGGGGUCAUGACGGUACCGGAAGAAUAAGCACCGGCUAACUACGUG